AACGAACGCUGGCGGCAUGCCUAACACAUGCAAGUCGAACGAGACCUUCGGGUCUAGUGGCGCACGGGUGCGUAACGCGUGGGAACCUGCCCUUAGGUUCGGAAUAACUCCCCGAAAGGUGUGCUAAUACCGGAUAAUGUCUUCGGACCAAAGAUUUAUCGCCUUUGGAUGGGCCCGCGUUGGAUUAGCUAGUUGGUAGGGUAAAAGCCUACCAAGGCGACGAUGCAUAGCUGGUCUGAGAGGAUGAUAAGCCACACUGGGACUGAGACACGGCCCAGACUCCUACGGGAGGCAGCAGUGGGGAAUAUUGGACAAUGGGCGAAAGCCUGAUCCGGCAAUGCCGCGUGAGUGAUGAAGGCCUUAGGGUUGUAAAGCUCUUUUACCCGGGAUGAUAAUGACAGUACCGGGAGAAUAAGCUCCGGCUAACUCCGUG
RNAcentral lists this ribosomal RNA (433 nucleotides) under uncultured bacterium. RNAcentral's name for it is "partial 16S ribosomal RNA". It matches the Rfam family "Bacterial small subunit ribosomal RNA", at positions 29 to 507 of the family's 1533-position model. The record is from RNAcentral.